This 253-nucleotide ribosomal RNA is filed under the name uncultured bacterium. RNAcentral describes it as "partial 16S ribosomal RNA". It matches the Rfam family "Bacterial small subunit ribosomal RNA", at positions 524 to 776 of the family's 1533-position model. The record is from RNAcentral.
UACGGGGGGAGCAAGCGUUGUUCGGAUUUACUGGGCGUAAAGGGCGCGUAGGCGGGAUGGCAAGUCAGUCGUGAAAUCUCUCGGCUCAACCGAGAAACGUCGGCUGAUACUGCCGUUCUUGAGGGAUGCAGAGGAGACUGGAAUUCCCGGUGUAGCGGUGAAACGUGUAGAGAUCGGGAGGAACACCGGUGGCGAAGGCGGGUCUCUGGGCAUCUCCUGACGCUGAGGCGCGAAAGCGUGGGGAGCAAACGGG